Non-coding RNA from Tupaia belangeri (northern tree shrew), 120 nucleotides. NCBI's taxonomy places the organism in Eukaryota, Metazoa, Chordata, Mammalia, Scandentia, Tupaiidae. The record is from Rfam.
GAAACAAAGGUGCCUUUGCCAAUCUUGACAAGCCUUGAGAUUUCUGAGGGGAAUCCACUAUAAAUGGGAUCAGGUCACUUAUUUAUGUUGUGUGCAAAUACAAUUUAAAGACACAGCCUC